GUUUAAAAUUUACGGUUUGGGUUUAGGGUCUACUACUUGAGUUUAGGGUAUUGAGUUUAGGUUUAUAGUCUAGUUUUCGGGUUUAGGGUAUAUAAUUUGGGUUUAGGAUCUAGGAUUAGAGUUUAGGGUAUAGGGGUUGGAUUUGGGUUUAGAAUUUAAGGUAUAGGGUUUAGAAUUUAUGAUUUAGGGUUUAGGGUUUAUCUAGAAGCGUUAGCGUAGUUAAAAUUAGCGUUUUUAUUUUUUGUAGUUAUUUUUUAUUUAAUUUAAUGUUUUUUAAUUAAUAAUCUAUGUGUCAAUUUGAUUGAUUUUAAAGGGUGAAGUGAAUUUAUCAUAAGUUAUGUCGUUAUUAUUAUGGUUUAAGACGCAGCCAUGUGGUGAAGACAUA
RNAcentral lists this long non-coding RNA (385 nucleotides) under Brassica napus (rape). RNAcentral describes it as "long non-coding RNA (BNAP_LNC010983)". The record is from RNAcentral. Lineage: Eukaryota; Viridiplantae; Streptophyta; Magnoliopsida; Brassicales; Brassicaceae.